Molecule: long non-coding RNA, 375 nt
Filed under: Ricinus communis (castor bean)
Lineage: Eukaryota; Viridiplantae; Streptophyta; Magnoliopsida; Malpighiales; Euphorbiaceae
Description: long non-coding RNA (RCOM_LNC003076)
Source: RNAcentral
UAAGCUUCAAAACAUUUCAUGUUCUUUUUAUUAAUAAUAAAGAUAAAAACAAAUAUUUAUUAGUAGAUUAAGUAUCGGAGUACAUGUUUCUAUCUAUUUAAGUAGUCAAAUAAAAAGUAAAAUAGUUGAAAAUAUUUUCAAAUUUCUAAAAGAACGCGAAAUCGGAAGCCUAAUAGCAACACGGCGUCGCAUAAUUUUCUUGACCAUGUUAUUUGACAAACAGAACAUCUCUCCUCCUUUCCAUUUACAGUCGCUCUUUGUUUCUCUCACUCUCGUAGCUUCUCUUAGCUUCUAUACUCUAAUCUGAAAUAAUCAUGGCGGCGGCAUGGGCUCGUCAAGCCGCGAAUCUUGCUCGGAUUUCUUCUCCAAAANNNN